GACGAAGGAUGCAAGCGUUAUCCGGAUUCAUUGGGUUUAAAGGGAGCGUAGGCGGAUUGGUAAGUCAGUGGUGAAAUCUGUGGGCUUAACCCACAAACUGCCAUUGAUACUGCUGAUCUAGAGUACAGUUGCCGUUGGCGGAAUAUGACAUGUAGUGGUGAAAUACUUAGAUAUGUCAUAGAACACCGAUUGCGAAGGCAGCUAACGAAACUGUAACUGACGCUGAGGCUCGAAAGUGCGGGGAUCAAACAGGAUUAGAUACCCUGGUAGUCCGCACCGUAAACGAUGAUUACUCGCUGCUUGAGGGCAACCUUGAGUGGCCAAGCGAAAGCGAUAAGUAAUCCACCUGGGGAGUACGCCGGCAACGGUGAA
This 372-nucleotide ribosomal RNA is filed under the name uncultured bacterium. RNAcentral's name for it is "bacterial SSU rRNA". It matches the Rfam family "Bacterial small subunit ribosomal RNA", at positions 524 to 898 of the family's 1533-position model. The record is from RNAcentral.